This 273-nucleotide unclassified non-coding RNA is filed under the name Hevea brasiliensis (rubber tree). Lineage: Eukaryota; Viridiplantae; Streptophyta; Magnoliopsida; Malpighiales; Euphorbiaceae. The record is from RNAcentral.
CUGGCUCUAGUCCAGUUGUCAAGGUUGAGAAAGCACAUAAUACUGAUCUUCAUUGUGUUGAUUGGAAUCCUCAUGAUGUGAACCUCAUUCUCACAGGAUCAGCUGAUAAUACUGUUCACAUGUUUGAUCGCCGAAAACUCACUUCUGGUGGGUUUGGAUCACCUAUUCAUAAAUUUGGGGGUCACAGUGCUGCUGUCCUUUGUGUACAGUGGUCUCCUGACAAGUCAUCUGUCUUUGGAAGCUCUGCAGAGGAUGGGAUUCUAAAUAUCUGGG